AAGUGGAGCAAUCCAUGAGUAAAGUGGCGCACGGGUGAGUAACACGUGACUAACCUACCCUCGAGUGGGGAAUAACCUCGGGGAACCGGGACUUUUACAGCAUAAUAUCUACGGAUCAAAUGCGUAAGCAGCUUGAGGAGGGGGUCGCGGCUGAUUAGCUAGUUGGCGGGGUAAUGGCCCACCAAGGCAGUGAUCAGUAGCCGGCCUGAGAGGGCGCACGGCCACACUGGAACUGAAACACGGUCCAGACUCCUACGGGAGGCAGCAGUGGGGAAUUUUGCGCAAUGGGGGAAACCCUGACGCAGCAACGCCGCGUGGAGGAUGAAGCCCCUUGGG
Molecule: ribosomal RNA, 336 nt
Filed under: uncultured bacterium
Lineage: Bacteria
Description: bacterial SSU rRNA
Rfam family: Bacterial small subunit ribosomal RNA
Source: RNAcentral